This is a non-coding RNA of Ciona intestinalis (vase tunicate), 767 nucleotides long. The record is from RefSeq and is a predicted model, not a curated record. NCBI's taxonomy places the organism in Eukaryota, Metazoa, Chordata, Ascidiacea, Phlebobranchia, Cionidae.
AACAAAUAUCGCUUCAGUUCAAAGCUGACCUUAAGUUGAGAUUUUCCACCUUAAAAAAAAGUUUAUUUCACCAUGUGGCUUACAGCAGGGUUUACAAUUCACCUGAAACCCGCUCAAUCUUGUCGCGGUCAUCGUAAUUAUAUUGCGUGGAAUGAAACGUGUAAUGCACGAGUUGGAACUUGGGCAUGUUUUUCACCAAUCUCGUGUCCAUGAAUAAAUCCUCCAUAUGGUUUCCUACCGACCACUCCAAGCGUAUCUUGCUGCAUUCCAGACACGCAAUCACUUAGUAUUAGCACGUCUCGACUUGUGCGAGAACAGUGUUGUGGCAAUUGUGUUUUACUGGAAGGAUGCCAUUAAAAACUGCUCGCCAUUUACUGUGAAACCGAUUUUAUAUGAAGCAAUACAGAAGCCAAAGUAAGUUGUUUUGUGAAUGAAUGAACUCUUUGAUCCAAAGACAUAAAGAUCUGUUUUUCAAGAAUGAAGGAACCCAUAACUUAUCAACGAGACGACUUGGUAAUACAACGCUCUGGUUUGCUGUUGUUCCACGGAAUCUUAGCCGUUCGUCCUUCCAGGUUUCGUGCAAACACAAUGUGCAAGUAAAGUCCUAAAUUAAUAUACAUCAACAGUUCACAUGAAACGUUUACACGAUGUUCUUGAACCGGCGGUACACAGAGACAUGAAAAAAAAAUAAUCUGAUUUUUUAUCUCACCAUAUUUUUCUCCGAAAUGUCGGUCAAACUUUCAAUCAAUAAAGAUACUUUUACUCUU